Molecule: ribosomal RNA, 301 nt
Filed under: uncultured bacterium
Lineage: Bacteria
Description: partial 16S ribosomal RNA
Rfam family: Bacterial small subunit ribosomal RNA
Source: RNAcentral
CAGUAGCCACGGGAAUACAGAGGGUGCAAGCGUUAAUCGGAAUUACUGGGCGUAAAGCGCGCGUAGGUGGUUUGUUAAGUUGGAUGUGAAAGCCCCGGGCUCAACCUGGGAACUGCAUCCAAAACUGGCAAGCUAGAGUACGGUAGAGGGUGGUGGAAUUUCCUGUGUAGCGGUGAAAUGCGUAGAUAUAGGAAGGAACACCAGUGGCAAAGGCGACCACCUGGACUGAUACUGACACUGAGGUGCGAAAGCGUGGGGAGCAAACAGGAUUAGAUACCCCUGUAGUCCCUGUCUCUUAUAA